GCCACGCCUAGACCGGCCAGUCGAACGCGGGAACACCCUGAACCGCUGGCGUGGCGCACCUCAUCGGGG
This 69-nucleotide non-coding RNA is filed under the name unclassified sequences. Its description in RNAcentral is "int-alpA RNA". It matches the Rfam family "int-alpA RNA". Rfam says of the family: Acidobacteria (1 example), Planctomycetes (1 example), Proteobacteria. Environment (Lake Washington) The record is from Rfam by way of RNAcentral.